Canis lupus familiaris (dog) is the source of this 83-nucleotide non-coding RNA. The record is from Rfam. NCBI's taxonomy places the organism in Eukaryota, Metazoa, Chordata, Mammalia, Carnivora, Canidae.
GCCUGGGGGGCUCAGUGGUGGAGCAUCUGCCUUCAGCUCAGGGCGUGAUCCUGGGGUCCUGGGAUCGAGUCCCGCCUCGGGCU